Molecule: ribosomal RNA, 449 nt
Filed under: uncultured bacterium
Lineage: Bacteria
Description: SSU rRNA
Rfam family: Bacterial small subunit ribosomal RNA
Source: RNAcentral
AGAGCGAACGCUGGCGGCAUGCUUAACACAUGCAAGUCGCACGGGCAGGGGCAACCCUGUCAGUGGCGGACGGGUGAGUAACGCGUAGGUAUCUAUCCUUGGGUGGGGGACAACUGUGGGAAACUACAGCUAAUACCGCAUGAUAACUGAGGUUUAAAGGCGCAAGUCGCCUGGGGAGGAGCCUGCGUACGAUUAGCUUGUUGGUGGGGUAAAGGCCUACCAAGGCGACGAUCGUUAGCUGGUCUGAGAGGAUGAUCAGCCACAUUGGGACUGAGACACGGCCCAAACUCCUACGGGAGGCAGCAGUGGGGAAUAUUGGACAAUGGGCGCAAGCCUGAUCCAGCAAUGCCGCGUGUGUGAAGAAGGUCUUCGGAUUGUAAAGCACUUUCGACGGGACGAUGAUGACGUACCGUAGAAGAAGCCCCGGCUAACUUCGUGCCAGCAGCCGC